Jaculus jaculus (lesser Egyptian jerboa) is the source of this 1594-nucleotide long non-coding RNA. RefSeq lists it as uncharacterized. The transcript is spliced from 3 exons. The record is from RefSeq and is a predicted model, not a curated record. NCBI's taxonomy places the organism in Eukaryota, Metazoa, Chordata, Mammalia, Rodentia, Dipodidae.
ACUGCAGAUUAUGGUUUCCUUUCUCAGUACAAGAAUCACUAGCUCUGGAGUGGUUAGCCUCAGUUUUCCUCUUGGGACUACCGUCCGUGGAACAGCCUGGAGUUUCGGGGAUGGAGGGGCCGAAUGAAAUCUAAAAGCCGUCUCCUGAAAUAGCUUUGUGAUGACCUGAGAAGGGAGAAGACAUCUGACCUUUGGCUAUGUUGUCUCCAUAUUGUUCCUGGAUGAUACAUUUCUCACUGACCCUUGACACUAAAAGGGAAGUUAGUCGUUACUGAAGGAUAUUUCUUUUACUAGAUAAGAAAUAUAAAAGUAUAACUCAAUUGUAAUUCCCAUUUGUCCUUCCUAUUGAGGGAACUAUUCCUGCCCGUUUCCAGACAAAGCCAAGAAAAGGGACACACGCAGAGACUGCAAGUAUAAGUGCGCCUGUGGGGACAUGUUAUAGUUUUUAGUAUGAAAAGAUGUUUAAGGUAUCUGAUCACAGGAAUGAGAAAUGGAACUCCUACACACAUCAUUGGGAAAUUUGAGAGUAUUGGAAUCAAAGAAAAGAUCACAUAAUUGUCAAAAGUAGGAGAAAAAAGUAGACCAUUUCAAAGGCCCAGUAUGUACACAAGAAAGUGAACAACAAUGGAACAGUGUCUUCCAAGCACCAAAGGAAGAUUAUUUCCAACCAGAAAUUCUUUGCUCAAACUAUCAGCUACAUGUCAGAGAGAAGGAGGAAAGACAUUGUCAGACAGAUGUGUGCUAUUUCUCAAGAAAGGAGAUUUUACCCUACCAAAUCAAGAGGAAACUAAAAAAAUGAGGUAGGUACAGACCGAGGAAACUUGAAGUCCAACACAGAGCAAAGAAGAGCAGGGAAUUCCCAAGGGUGAGAGUGAAAGAAGAGCCUCAUUGGUGACAAAGCAGUCAGCAGUCAUGUGUGCAGUGCAGAUGGGAGUGUGUCACGUCACCAGAGAUUCUUCAGGAAGAACGCAUUGAUAGAAAACUGCACCUGAACUCUUCAGAGGUAAAUUAGACAACUGUUUAAAGUCAGUACAGUUAAUGAAAAUCACUGUCUUAGUUUGUGCUGUUAUAACAAAAUCCCACAAACUACGUAGUUUAUAUACAGCAGAAAUUGAUUUCUCAUAGUUCUCCAAAAACAAGGCCCAGACAGAUUCAGUGUCUGAUGAGAACCCACGUUCUGGUUCAUGGAUAUGAUCUAAUUACCUCUCAAUGGCCCACCUCCGAAUACCAGCAUCAUGAAGAAUAAGAUUGUAAUAUCUAAAUGUGGGGGAAGAAAUAAGACAUUCAGCCCACGGAAGCAACCACUUUGAAAACAAAAAUCAACAACAAAAUAUCUCAAACCAGCUGUGUGUAAAAUGUUCAUCUGUGAAUAGCAGUUACAUAUUAUAGUAAUGUAAACACUAAAAUUUCAUCAAAAUCUUGAGAAAACUAUCAGGAAGAUAGGGUAACGAAGGUAGAUCCCUUGAAAUCAACACAGUAAUGCUUUAUUUUGAAAAAAUAACAACAAGGGCUAGUAUACAUGCUAUUUAUAAUGGACUAAAUAUCAAAACAAUUGUCUUUAAAGAAGUGAAAAUAGUCAUUUUAUUGAUCAGAA